AUUGAACGCUGGCGGCAGGCCUAACACAUGCAAGUCGAGCGGAUGAAGGGAGCUUGCUCCUGGAUUCAGCGGCGGACGGGUGAGUAAUGCCUAGGAAUCUGCCUGGUAGUGGGGGAUAACGUCCGGGAACGGGCGCUAAUACCGCAUACGUCCUGAGGGAGAAAGUGGGGGAUCUUCGGACCUCACGCUAUCAGAUGAGCCUAGGUCGGAUUAGCUAGUUGGUGGGGUAAAGGCCUACCAAGGCGACGAUCCGUAACUGGUCUGAGAGGAUGAUCAGUCAAACUGGAACUGAGACAGGGUCCAGACUCCUACGGGAGGAAGCAGUGGGGAAUAUUGGACAAUGGGCGAAAGCCUGCUCAAGCCCUGCCGCGUGUGUGAAGAAGGUCUUCGGAUUGUAAAGCACUUUAAGUUGGGAGGAAGGGUAGUAAGUUAAUACCUUGCUGUUUCGACGUUACCAACAGAAUAAGCACCGGCUAACUUCGUG
RNAcentral lists this ribosomal RNA (484 nucleotides) under uncultured bacterium. RNAcentral describes it as "partial 16S ribosomal RNA". It matches the Rfam family "Bacterial small subunit ribosomal RNA", at positions 30 to 507 of the family's 1533-position model. The record is from RNAcentral.